UCGCCAGUUCUGCAAAACAGGCUGAUAGAAUAAGUAUGAAAAAUAAGUACUGAGGUUGAUUUGUUAGAUUAAAACUCUUCAAUGUAGUGCUCCAGCAUGACUGCAGUUCAGUGACCGAAACACAGAAGAUAAGAGAUAUCUUAUACAUAGAAAGAGGGAGGAGCGUAGCGCAUUUACAUCCAUACAAAUAUGCUCCACAGUUAAACAUAUAAAGCGGGGUUAGAAAAUAGCAGGCGUCAGUUAGUGAAAGAGCACCGAUCUGUGUUCAGUUGCGAUAACUGAUUUGAUACGAAGUCUUCUCUCACCGGUCACUUUUCCAAGUUUUUUUCGACUAUCACAAUGGCAACUACCUGUCUUCUAAGAUAUGUCCAGAAGGCAUAUUCCAGAGUACCUGCAAGAGCUUUCUCAUCCUUAGUGGAUCUUCCAGACACACACAAAAUGCUGCAAGAAACAUGUCAUGAAUUUGCUGAGAAAGAGUUGAUGCCAGUAGCUGCUGAAAUUGACAAAUUAAAGAAGUUCCCAGCAGAACAGAUAAAAAAACUCGGGGACCUUGGACUUUUGGCUAUUACUAUACCUUCAGAAGAUGGUGGCACUGGAUUAGAUUCUCUUGCUUAUGCUAUAGCAAUGGAAGAGAUUAGUCGUGGUUGUGCUACAUGUGGAGUUAUUAUGAGUGUCAAUAAUUCUCUUUACUUAGCACCAAUUAAAGACUUUGGAAAUUCAUCACAGAAAAAAGAAUACAUCUCAUCUUACAUAGAUGGAGAUAAAAUAGGAUGUUUUGCCUUAAGUGAACCAGGUAAUGGGAGUGAUGCAGCUGCAGCAUCAACAGUUGCACACCUGCAUGGUGACCAUUGGGUGCUAAAUGGUACCAAGUCAUGGAUCACCAAUGGCUAUGAAGCUUCAGCAGCAAUUGUUUUUGCAACAACAGACAAAGCUAAGAAACACAAGGGUAUAAGUGCAUUUAUUGUACCAACAUCUUCUGAAGGGUUUUCUCUUGGGAAAAAAGAAGACAAACUUGGCAUCAGGGGUUCUUCAACAUGUAAUUUAAUUUUUGAUGAUUGCAAAAUUCCUAAAGAAAAUAUCCUUGGUCCAGAAGGAGCUGGUUUUAAAAUUGCUAUGCAAGUUCUUGACGGUGGUAGAAUUGGUAUUGCUGCUCAAGCUGUCGGAAUAGCUCAGGCUGCAAUGGAUUGUGCUGUGGCAUAUUCUCUUAAAAGAGAAGCAUUUGGAGCCCCAAUUGCUAAAUUACAAGCUGUUCAGAUGAAAUUAGCUGACAUGGCAUCCAAAAUUGAUUCUUCUCGUCUUCUUUUAUGGAGAGCUGCUAUGUUAAAGGAUGCUAAAAGACCUUUUUCAAAGGAAUCAGCCAUGGCUAAGUUAGUUGCUUCAGAAGCUGCAACUGCUGUUAGUCACCAGGCAAUCCAAGUUCUUGGAGGAAUGGGAUAUGUUUCUGAUAUGCCUGCAGAGCGCCAUUAUAGAGAUGCAAGAAUUACUGAAAUCUAUGAAGGAACAAGUGAAAUUCAACGUCUUGUUAUUGCAGGAAGCCUAAUCAAAGAAUAUCAGCAGAUGAAUCUUUGAAUCUUUACUGCAGAACAACAACUAAUAAACUAAUGAUUUGUGGUAACAUUAAUAUUUUUUUCAAUAAAAUAAGAAACAAUUUAACCAAAGAUUUCAAUUUAAAUGAUGGGAGUAAAAAAUGGGCAUUUGAUAUUGCACUUGUACAUUUUAAUGGUGAGUAUUUCAGAGAAAAACGUUUAGUUCUUUGAGUGGCGCACUGAUAUGAAGACAAAAUGAGUGUGAGGUUAAGGUGCUGGACUACUAACAACUUUAUCAAAGGUUCCAAUCUUAUGAUUGUUAUUGUAUUGUCUCUAAGCAAGGGACUUAACCACUGCCUGUUCAAACUUACCUGACCAAACAAA
RNAcentral lists this unclassified non-coding RNA (1910 nucleotides) under Octopus sinensis (East Asian common octopus). RNAcentral's name for it is "short-chain specific acyl-CoA dehydrogenase, mitochondrial, transcript variant X1". Lineage: Eukaryota; Metazoa; Mollusca; Cephalopoda; Octopoda; Octopodidae. The record is from RNAcentral.